CAAUAGCGUAUAUUAAAGUUGUUGCAGUUAAAAAGCUCGUAGUUGGAUUUCGGGGCAGCCUGGCUGGUCCGCCGCAAGGCGAGUACUGGUCAGCCGCCCUUCCUCUCGAAAGCCCCGACUGCUCUUCAUUGCAGUGGUCGGGUAGUUCGGGACGUUUACUUUGAAAAAAUUAGAGUGUUCAAGGCAGGCCUACGCCUGAAUACAUUAGCAUGGAAUAAUGGAAGAGGACCUCGGUCCUAUUUUGUUGGUUUCCAGGGCCGAAGUAAUGAUUAAGAGGGACAGUUGGGGGCAUUCGUAUUUAAUUGUCAGAGGUGAAAUUCUCGGAUUUAUGAAAGACGAACAACUGCGAAAGCAUUUGCCAAGGAUGCUUUCAUUAA
Molecule: ribosomal RNA, 377 nt
Filed under: uncultured eukaryote
Lineage: Eukaryota
Description: partial 18S ribosomal RNA
Rfam family: Eukaryotic small subunit ribosomal RNA
Source: RNAcentral